Molecule: unclassified non-coding RNA, 387 nt
Filed under: soil metagenome
Description: partial contains 5.8S ribosomal RNA, internal transcribed spacer 2, and large subunit ribosomal RNA
Rfam family: 5.8S ribosomal RNA (bases 1-120)
Source: RNAcentral
GAUGAAGAACGCAGCGAAAUGCGAUAAGUAAUGUGAAUUGCAGAAUUCAGUGAAUCAUCGAAUCUUUGAACGCACCUUGCGCUCCUUGGUAUUCCGAGGAGCAUGCCUGUUUGAGUGUCAUGAAAUUCUCAACCUUUUCAGCUUUCUUUGUUGAUCAGGCUUGGAUGUGGGAGUAUGCGGGCUUCUCAGAAGUCGGCUCUCCUGAAAUGCAUUAGCGGGACCUUUGUUGCCUGGCUUUGGUGUGAUAAUUAUCUACGCCAUUGUAGUCAAGCAGCUUAAAAUGAGGUUUCAGCUUCUAACCGUCUCCCCUGAGACAACUUUUUGACAAUUUGACCUCAAAUCAGGUAGGACUUCCCGCUGAACUUAAGCAUAUCAAUAAGCGGAGGA